UGGGGAAUCUUGGACAAUGGGCGAAAGCCUGAUCCAGCAACGCCGCGUGCGGGACGAAGGCCCUCGGGUCGUAAACCGCUGUCAGGAGGGAGGAACGGUGCGUGGUUAAGAGCUGCGUACUUUGACAGUACCUCCAGAGGAAGCCCCGGCUAACUCCGUGCCAGCAGCCGCGGUAAUACGUAGGGGGCGAGCGUUGUCCGGAUUUAUUGGGCGUAAAGAGCUCGUAGGCGGUUCGGUAAGUCGGGUGUGAAACUCUGGGCUCAACCCAGAGAGGCCACUCGAUACUGCUGUGACUAGAGUGCGGUAGGGGAGCGGGGAAUUCCUGGUGUAGCGGUGAAAUGCGCAGAUAUCAGGAGGAACACCAGUGGCGAAGGCGCCGCUCUGGGCCGUAACUGACGCUGAGGAGCGAAAGCGUGGGGAGCGAACAGGAUUAGAUACCCUGGUAGUCCACGCCGUAAACGGUGGGCGCUAGGUGUGGGGAUCGUUUCCACGAUCUCCGUGCCGUAGCUACGCAUUAAGCGCCCGCCUGGGAGUACGG
This 538-nucleotide ribosomal RNA is filed under the name uncultured bacterium. Its description in RNAcentral is "bacterial SSU rRNA". It matches the Rfam family "Bacterial small subunit ribosomal RNA", at positions 355 to 885 of the family's 1533-position model. The record is from RNAcentral.